This 275-nucleotide ribosomal RNA is filed under the name uncultured bacterium. Its description in RNAcentral is "partial 16S ribosomal RNA". It matches the Rfam family "Bacterial small subunit ribosomal RNA", at positions 523 to 796 of the family's 1533-position model. The record is from RNAcentral.
AUACGGAGGGAGCAAGCGUUGUUCGGAAUUACUGGGCGUAAAGGGCGCGUAGGCGGCCUUGUAAGUCGAGUGUGAAAGGCCGGGGCUCAACUCCGUGCACUGCAUUCGAUACUGCUUGGCUAGAGAGAGGUAGAGGCGAGCGGAAUUCCCGGUGUAGCGGUGGAAUGCGUAGAUAUCGGGAAGAACAUCUGCGGCGAAGGCGGCUCGCUGGGCCUCAUCUGACGCUGAAGCGCGAAAGCGUGGGGAGCAAACAGGAUUAGAAACCCCGGUAGUCC